UAAAGGUUUGGUCCUAGCCUUACUAUUAAUUAUUAUUAUACUUACACAUGCAAGCCUCAUCUUCCCGGUGAAAAUGCCCUUAAUCUUUAAGGAAAAAGGAGCAGAUAUCAGGCAAAACCCACAACAUCUUGCUAAGCCACACCCUCAAGGGAAUUCAGCAGUGAUUAACUUUGAUCAAUAAGCGAAAGCUUGAAUCAGUAAUAAUUCAAAGGGUCGGUUAAUCUCGUGCCAGCCACCGCGGUUAUACGAAAGACUCAAAUUAAUAUAAACGGCACAAAGGGUGGUUAAAGACUGUACAUAAAUAAAAUUAAAAAUUAACUAAACUGUUAUACGUAGUAGUUAAAUGUAAGCCCAAUAACGAAAGUAAUUUUAAUAAAAUCUACUUGAACCCACAAUAGUUAGAACACAAACUGGGAUUAGAUACCCCACUAUGUCUAACCUUAAACUUUGAUUAUUCGCCAGAAUACUACGAGCCACAGCUUAAAAUUCAAAGGACUUGGCGGUGCUCUAUAUCCCCCUAGAGGAGCCUGUUCUAUAAUCGAUAUUCCACGAUAAACCUCACCAUCUUUUGCUAAACAGCCUAUAUACCACCGUCUAGCUUACCCUCUAAAGGAAAAAUAGUGAGCAAAAUAAUAAACAUUAGAAAGACAGGUCAAGGUGUAGCCUAUAUGAUGGGAAGAAAUGGGCUACAUUUUUUUACCAAAAAACACAAAAGAAAGAAUGAAAAAUUUUCUGAAGGCGGAUUUAGCAGUAAAAAGAAAUUAUUAUGUUCUCUUUAAACAGGCAAUAGAGCGCGCACACACCGCCCGUCACCCUCCUCAAACAACAACAACCAUUAAAUAAAUAAAUAAAAUAUAUAAGAAGAGGAAAGUCGUAACAUGGUAAGCUCACUGGAAAGUGAUCUUGGA
This 908-nucleotide non-coding RNA is filed under the name Necturus beyeri (Gulf Coast waterdog). Lineage: Eukaryota; Metazoa; Chordata; Amphibia; Caudata; Proteidae. The record is from RNAcentral.